UACGUAGGGUGCAAGCGUUGUCCGGAAUUAUUGGGCGUAAAGAGCUCGUAGGCGGUCUGUUGCGUCGGCUGUGAAAACCCGAGGCUCAACCCCGGGCCUGCAGCCGAUACGGGCAGACUAGAGUUCGGCAGGGGAGACUGGAAUUCCUGGUGUAGCGGUGAAAUGCGCAGAUAUCAGGAGGAACACCGGUGGCGAAGGCGGGUCUCUGGGCCGAUACUGACGCUGAGGAGCGAAAGCGUGGGGAGCGAACAGG
RNAcentral lists this ribosomal RNA (253 nucleotides) under uncultured bacterium. RNAcentral describes it as "partial 16S ribosomal RNA". It matches the Rfam family "Bacterial small subunit ribosomal RNA", at positions 524 to 776 of the family's 1533-position model. The record is from RNAcentral.